CGUGUAGGCGGCUUAUUAAGUCAGAUGUGAAAGCCCACGGCUUAACCGUGGAACUGCAUUUGAAACUGAUAGGCUUGAGUAUGAGAAGGGGUAGUGGGAAUUCCCAGUGUAGCGGUGAAAUGCGUAGAUAUUGGGAAGAACACCAGUAGCGAAGGCGACUACCUGGCUCAUUACUGACGCUAAUGCGCGAAAGCGCGGGGAGCAAACA
RNAcentral lists this ribosomal RNA (208 nucleotides) under uncultured bacterium. RNAcentral's name for it is "partial 16S ribosomal RNA". It matches the Rfam family "Bacterial small subunit ribosomal RNA", at positions 568 to 774 of the family's 1533-position model. The record is from RNAcentral.